AGAGGGUGCGAGCGUUAAUCGGAAUUACUGGGCGUAAAGGGCGCGUAGGCGGUGUCAUGUGAGUGAUGUGAAAGCCCUGGGCUUAACCUAGGAAGAGCAUCGCUAACUAUGAAACUAGAGUAUAUGAGAGGGUGGCGGAAUUUCCGGUGUAGCGGUGAAAUGCGUAGAGAUCGGAAGGAACGUCGAUGGCGAAGGCAGCCACCUGGCAUAAUACUGACGCUGAGGCGCGAAAGCGUGGGGAGCGAACAGGAUUAGAUACCCUGGUAGUCCACGCUGUAAACGAUGAAGACUAGAUGUUGGUAGGGGAACCUAUCGGUAUCGAAGCUAACGCGAUAAGUCUUCCGCCUGGGAAGUACGGCCGCAAGGUUG
RNAcentral lists this ribosomal RNA (369 nucleotides) under uncultured bacterium. RNAcentral describes it as "bacterial SSU rRNA". It matches the Rfam family "Bacterial small subunit ribosomal RNA", at positions 527 to 896 of the family's 1533-position model. The record is from RNAcentral.